RNAcentral lists this ribosomal RNA (460 nucleotides) under uncultured bacterium. RNAcentral's name for it is "partial 16S ribosomal RNA". It matches the Rfam family "Bacterial small subunit ribosomal RNA", at positions 338 to 795 of the family's 1533-position model. The record is from RNAcentral.
CCUACGGGAGGCAGCAGUGAGGAAUAUUGGUCAAUGGGCGAGAGCCUGAACCAGCCAAGUCGCGUGAAGGAUGACGGCCCUACGGGUUGUAAACUUCUUUUGUCAGGGAGCAAUUGGGUCCACGCGUGGGCUUAGCGAGAGUACCUGAAGAAAAAGCAUCGGCUAACUCCGUGCCAGCAGCCGCGGUAAUACGGAGGAUGCGAGGGUUAUCCGGAUUUAUUGGGUUUAAAGGGUGCGUAGGCGGAAUAUCAAGUCAGCGGUAAAACUUCGGGGCUCAACCCCGUCGUGCCGUUGAAACUGGUGUUCUUGAGUGGGCGAGAAGUAUGCGGAAUGCGUGGUGUAGCGGUGAAAUGCAUAGAUAUCACGCAGAACUCCGAUUGCGAAGGCAGCAUACCGGCGCCCAACUGACGCUGAGGCACGAAAGCGUGGGUAUCGAACAGGAUUAGAUACCCGUGUAGUC